RNAcentral lists this ribosomal RNA (349 nucleotides) under uncultured Pseudomonas sp. Its description in RNAcentral is "bacterial SSU rRNA". It matches the Rfam family "Bacterial small subunit ribosomal RNA", at positions 1033 to 1382 of the family's 1533-position model. The record is from RNAcentral. Lineage: Bacteria; Pseudomonadati; Pseudomonadota; Gammaproteobacteria; Pseudomonadales; Pseudomonadaceae.
GAGAGGUGGUGCAUGGCCGUCGUCAGCUCGUGUCGUGAGAUGUUGGGUUAAGUCCCGUAACGAGCGCAACCCUUGUCCUUAGUUACCAGCACGUUAUGUGGGCACUCUAAGGAGACUGCCGGUGACAAACCGGAGGAAGGUGGGGAUGACGUCAAGUCAUCAUGGCCCUUACGGCCUGGGCUACACACGUGCUACAAUGGUCGGUACAAAGGGUUGCCAAGCCGCGAGGUGGAGCUAAUCCCAUAAAACCGAUCGUAGUCCGGAUCGCAGUCUGCAACUCGACUGCGUGAAGUCGGAAUCGCCAGUAAUCGUGAAUCAGAAUGUCACGGUGAAUACGUUCCCGGGCCUU